This 404-nucleotide ribosomal RNA is filed under the name Actinomycetes bacterium. Its description in RNAcentral is "Actinobacteria bacterium partial 16S ribosomal RNA". It matches the Rfam family "Bacterial small subunit ribosomal RNA", at positions 355 to 776 of the family's 1533-position model. The record is from RNAcentral. Lineage: Bacteria; Bacillati; Actinomycetota; Actinomycetes.
UGGGGAAUAUUGGACAAUGGGCGCAAGCCUGAUCCAGCCAUGCCGCGUGAGUGAUGAAGGCCCUAGGGUUGUAAAGCUCUUUCACCGGUGAAGAUAAUGACGGUAACCGGAGAAGAAGCCCCGGCGAACUUCGUGCCAGCAGCCGCGGUAAUACGAAGGGGGCUAGCGUUGUUCGGAUUUACUGGGUGUAAAGCGCACGUAGGCGGACUUUUAAGUCAGGGGUGAAAUCCCGGGGCUCAACCCCGGAACUGCCUUUGAUACUGGAAGUCUUGAGUAUGGUAGAGGUGAGUGGAAUUCCGAGUGUAGAGGUGAAAUUCGUAGAUAUUCGGAGGAACACCAGUGGCGAAGGCGGCUCACUGGACCAUUACUGACGCUGAGGUGCGAAAGCGUGGGGAGCAAACAGG